AUACAGAGGGUGCAAGCGUUAUUCGGAAUUACUGGGCGUAAAGCGCGCGUAGGCGGAUGAUUAAGUCAGUUGUGAAAGCCCUGGGCUCAACCUAGGAACUGCAUCUGAUACUGGUCGUCUAGAGUUUAAGAGAGGGAAGUGGAAUUACAGGUGUAGCAGUGAAAUGCGUAGAUAUCUGGAGGAACAUCAGUGGCGAAGGCGACUUCCUGGCUUAAAACUGACGCUGAGGUGCGAAAGCGUGGGUAGCGAACGGGAUUAGAAACCCUAGUAGUCC
This 274-nucleotide ribosomal RNA is filed under the name uncultured bacterium. RNAcentral's name for it is "partial 16S ribosomal RNA". It matches the Rfam family "Bacterial small subunit ribosomal RNA", at positions 523 to 796 of the family's 1533-position model. The record is from RNAcentral.